GUGAAUUAAACAUGCUUGGUGUCUUCGUUUCGGCAAGGCCCUUGCUUAAAUCACAUCCUAACACCUGUGAACUGUAAGACGUAUGAUGAGGUCUUUGGCCAAGUCAUCGUCUGCCCAUUUUUAACAAACAAUUAAUGUAACAAACGUAGUCUUAUUAUAACCUAAUA
RNAcentral lists this unclassified non-coding RNA (167 nucleotides) under soil metagenome. Its description in RNAcentral is "partial internal transcribed spacer 1". The record is from RNAcentral.